Molecule: ribosomal RNA, 431 nt
Filed under: uncultured bacterium
Lineage: Bacteria
Description: bacterial SSU rRNA
Rfam family: Bacterial small subunit ribosomal RNA
Source: RNAcentral
AUUGAACGCUGGCGGCAUGCCUUACACAUGCAAGUCGAACGGCAGCACGGGAGCAAUCCUGGUGGCGAGUGGCGAACGGGUGAGUAAUAUAUCGGAACGUGCCCGGUCGUGGGGGAUAACGUAGCGAAAGCUACGCUAAUACCGCAUACGAUCUACGGAUGAAAGCGGGGGAUCGCAAGCCCUCGCGCGAUUGGAGCGGCCGAUAUCAGAUUAGGUAGUUGGUGGGGUAAAGGCUCACCAAGCCAACGAUCUGUAGCUGGUCUGAGAGGACGACCAGCCACACUGGAACUGAGACACGGUCCAGACUCCUACGGGAGGCAGCAGUGGGGAAUUUUGGACAAUGGACGCAAGUCUGAUCCAGCCAUUCCGCGUGCAGGAUGAAGGCCCUCGGGUUGUAAACUGCUUUUGUACGGAACGAAACGGUGAGCCUA